ACAUACGGCCUUACCUGCCAGAAAACACGGGAUCCCGUCCGCUCUCCCCUAGUUAAACUCACAAGGGCCAUAUCAGCAGCUGGGUCGGUGGCCAACGAAUCCCUGAUGUUGGUUUGUU
RNAcentral lists this ribosomal RNA (118 nucleotides) under Chaetomium globosum CBS 148.51. Lineage: Eukaryota; Fungi; Ascomycota; Sordariomycetes; Sordariales; Chaetomiaceae. The record is from RNAcentral.